This 286-nucleotide small RNA is filed under the name Arabidopsis thaliana (thale cress). RNAcentral's name for it is "ATSL282900". Lineage: Eukaryota; Viridiplantae; Streptophyta; Magnoliopsida; Brassicales; Brassicaceae. The record is from RNAcentral.
AAUCUUAUUAGAAUCAAUCAAUAUAUUCUAUAUACUUCACAUAACUUUCGUGAAGAAUGUGAUUAUCGAAGUCAUUGUUGUUCAUGUGUGUAUUGCGAUUCACCAUGCAUUACUAAAAUCAUGGAUCCCACUUAUUUUGUUUGCGGGUAGUGCCCUUAGCACCGUUGUUUUGACUUUCAUAGAUUGUGUCUUCAAGAAAAUAUAAACUGGAAAUACGCAUUAUUAUUAAAAAAUUUAUUACAAUUUCCUUACAUAAUUGAUUCUAAGAAGAUUAUGAAAUCAUUAA